GACAGAGGGUGCAAGCGUUGUUCGGAAUCAUUGGGCGUAAAGCGCACGUAGGCGGCCGGGCAAGUCGGAUGUGAAAGCCCAGGGCUCAACCCUGGAAGUGCAUCCGAAACUGCUCGGCUUGAGUUCCGGAGAGGGUGGUGGAAUUCCCAGUGUAGAGGUGAAAUUCGUAGAUAUUGGGAGGAACACCGGUGGCGAAGGCGACCACCUGGACGGUAACUGACGCUGAGGUGCGAAAGCGUGGGGAGCAAACAGG
Molecule: unclassified non-coding RNA, 253 nt
Filed under: uncultured Myxococcales bacterium
Lineage: Bacteria; Pseudomonadati; Myxococcota; Myxococcia; Myxococcales
Description: contains 16S-23S intergenic spacer region
Rfam family: Bacterial small subunit ribosomal RNA
Source: RNAcentral